GCGGUCCCCGGGCGCUGCCACGACCUUGGGAAGGAAGAGCGCGGCGCUCGCGCUCUCUUACUCCCUCUUUUCUUUCGCCUUUUCCUUUUUCUUUCCGAACUUCUCUGCCCCCGUGAGAUGACCCUGCCUGCUCUUCCCACCUUUCCUAGAAGAACUUAUCGUCUGCGCUCGAGUUCCUAAUCAGGUGGCAGCUGCUCUGCCCGCACUCCGGUCCCAUCCACCCACCGCCCGGGAUAAGGCCUUGGGGAAACGCGGCUUCUCGUCCGGGCUGCUCUGUGUGACCUUGAUAAUCAGCGAACCGCUUGACGAAUGUCGCGGGAAGGUAUGGAGAGACAGCCAGGAUUGUUCUCGCAGUGGCGUCUGGGUAAUACUACAUUGCCAGGUGACCCCUGAGGGACAGACUCGCCCCCGGUUGAGGACCACUGAUACAGAGUGCCUGACACAGAGCUGGUGCACAGUCUGUGCUGAAUGAUGCUAGCCCCUUCCCAGCUGUGCCAAGAAAGGUUCGCUGCGACAUCAGAGACUCGUUUCACACACACAGGGCUCCCAGGCGUCACCCUGGAAUCAGCCCCCCCUACCGGAAAGACUGUCCAGCAUCUCCGUGUUGUGGACGGAGCCCACCCCCAGCCCACGCCCAUCUCUUCCACAUUCUGUCCCUCCCUCACAUUCCUGGGGUCUUUCUCCCCCGCCAUCCCUUCCCCAAUGAGAGAUGAUACGACUUUUCAUAAAUUCCUUAGGCUCUCGGUGCCUGGCUUUCCUCAUCUGUGGGCUGGGAGAGCACCAGGACCCACGUCACAAGGCUGUCGCAGAGAUGCCCAAGUUGGCAUAUGGGAAGUGCCCAGGCAGGGCUGGCAUUUAUUUAUUCAAUUCAUGGAUUGACAGCUGAAUGCAUUCAGAGGCAUUUGGCUGCAAGGAGGAGAAGAAUGGGCUGCUGAUGGUUCAAACAUAAGGACGUGGUUUAUUUCACAAGAGGUCCAGGGGACGUUGGCUCCUCUGGCUGGUUCAGGACUUGGUGACAUCCUCAAGGACCAAGGCGCCUUGACCCUUCUGUCCUCAUCAGAGUGGCUCUUCUAAGGUUUGGGGCCUCAGAGUCACAAGAUGGUUGCCAUGACAGCCAUGUCACCUGCUGACACAACAACUCCAAAACAGGAAAGAAAAGAAGAGGUCAAAGGGGGCCCUCUCUGAGCCUCUCUCUUACCAGAGAGAGAGAACUUUCCCAAAGCCCCCGAGAGGCAGACUUCCCCUUACACCUCACAGGCCCGGCUGGUCACGUGGCCGCCCUUGAAUAGUCCCUGAACACAAGCAGGGUUGUCACCGUCAACUUGGAACAGCCCUGCUCUAUCUCCUGGGACACGGCUGCCUGAACAACUUGGGGUUCUGUUAUUAAGAGAGAAGCGUCUGCCACAAGCACCUACUAUGUGCUGGGCCCUGGGUGAGGUUCUGGGACUGCAGAAGUGAACAAGACCAGCACAUUCAGGCCCUCACGGAGCUGAGGUUAUUCCAGCCAAGGGGACAAACAAUGAUGAAUUAAACAAAGAAGGACAGCAAGUUCCUUCCAUCAUUCACUCAACGAGUGUUUAUUGAGGGCCUACUAUGUGCCAGGCUGGGAUACAGGGAUGAACACAACAGGCGAGGUUCCUGCCCUCCUGGUGCUUCCAGUCCAGAGCAAGGGGAGGAGGACAAUAACCAAAUUAACAAUCAAUCAAUCAAGGAGAUCCUUUCACCCUCUCCAGAGUUGGUGGGUGGCACCUCCAGGCCUCUGUCUCAGUCACUGCCUACUCCAGGUCGCAUGACUCAGGCAGGGAGCUCAGCACUGUGUGAUCAAUGGGGACUCCCUUGGUCCACGACCUGGCUGCUUCCCAGCUAAUCCUGGCACAGAGCGACUCACUGAGCAAAACAUGACUAAGCAAUCCCAAGCUGGGGGAGCUCCCAUCACUGCUGCAGCCUCGACCUCUCCUCCCUCCUUCCCAUCACCUCCUCCCACACCCUCCAGGGUCUCCAGCAGGGCGCCCUGACAUCCCCGUCAGUCUCCAAGGCAGGGCCUGAAAUAGGCUAUCGCUG
RNAcentral lists this long non-coding RNA (2061 nucleotides) under Equus asinus (donkey). RNAcentral describes it as "lncRNA (ENSEASG00005024876.1)". The record is from RNAcentral. Lineage: Eukaryota; Metazoa; Chordata; Mammalia; Perissodactyla; Equidae.